This is a long non-coding RNA of Poecilia latipinna (sailfin molly), 568 nucleotides long. RefSeq lists it as uncharacterized. The transcript has 3 exons. Lineage: Eukaryota; Metazoa; Chordata; Actinopteri; Cyprinodontiformes; Poeciliidae. The record is from RefSeq and is a predicted model, not a curated record.
AUGUACUGGAGGAGAGGCAACCAAACGGGCAAGUGGUGGCGAAGAUGGGGACAUGAAAAGGACAUGAAAGGACAGCGUGUCUUGCAUUAGUUGGCUAUAAAAAGAAAGAUUAUAGUGCAACCAGAAGAAGCAAAGACAGAAUUACCCCAAUGAGUCACAGAACAGAUUCCAAUCGGAGGCUCAGUCUGGGCCUGGCCUUGCUGAAAGGGCCGAGCUCAUUCCAUUUCCAGCGAUGGGAGUGAUUGGGGAGAAGUGAGCCUGAAGAUUGCUGAAGUAAUUAACAUUCGCGGCUGGUUGGCAGAUCCAAUCGUCUUGUCUCGGAUGCAGGAGGAGCCGUCAAUUGGAGGCCGUUGUCUCAAGGUGACUCGGAGCAUCUGGAGCCGUUCGCCACAAUAUACGAAGCAAUUUAGUCGCAGACAGGAGCUGUGAAGAGACCGGACUCCUGCCCUCUGGUGACUCCAAACAUUGUGGCUGGCGACCCUGUCAAGGUUGCAGCUCACAGUUCAUCUGCAUACGUGGAAAGUCCUAGCAGGCAACACAAUUCAGUUCUUGAAAUUAAUCUUGUCUG